Molecule: ribosomal RNA, 494 nt
Filed under: uncultured bacterium
Lineage: Bacteria
Description: partial 16S ribosomal RNA
Rfam family: Bacterial small subunit ribosomal RNA
Source: RNAcentral
GAUGAACGCUGGCGGCGUGCCUAACACAUGCAAGUCGAACGGAGUUAUAAUUAUGAAGUUUUCGGAUGGAUUAAUAAUAACUUAGUGGCGGACGGGUGAGUAACGCGUGGGUAACCUGCCUCAUACAGGGGGAUAACAGUUGGAAACGGCUGCUAAAACCGCAUAACAUUGCGAUGUCGCAUGACAAUGCAAUUAAAUAUUUAUAGGUAUGAGAUGGGCCAGCGUCUGAUUAGCUAGUUGGUGGGGUAAUGGCCUACCAAGGCGACGAUCAGUAGCCGGCGUAAGAGGGUGCGCGGCCACAUUGAGACUGAGACACGGGCCAAAGUCCUACGGGAGGCGGCAGUGGGGAAUAUUGCACAAUGGAGGAAACCCUGAUGAAGCGAGGCAUGGUGAGUGAAGAAGUAUUUAGGUAUGUAAAGCUCUAUCAGCAGGGAAGAAAAUGACGGUACCUGACUAAGAAGCCCCGGCUAACUACGUGCCAGCCGCCGCCGUAA